Long non-coding RNA from Tympanuchus pallidicinctus (lesser prairie-chicken), 559 nucleotides. RefSeq lists it as uncharacterized. Lineage: Eukaryota; Metazoa; Chordata; Aves; Galliformes; Phasianidae. The transcript has 4 exons. The record is from RefSeq and is a predicted model, not a curated record.
GCAAAGGUUCUCUACUUGGAGAUUGCUUUCUUCGGAGCAUUUGGUGAACCCUGAUCCUCGGAAAGGGGGGUUGGAAGGGAGCUCUGGAGAUCAUCUAAUCCAAUUCAUCUUCUAAAGCAGAUUUCCUACAAGAGGUUGCACAGCUGUAUGUGAAAAUCUGGAGCGAGGGUUAUCCAGCCAAAUUUCAUCAUCUGCCAGCUAGAAGGCCUGUAGCAAGGUGGAGAAGCUGGCAUUUGCAUUGAGAUUCCAAUUAAGUUGAAAUUAGCAUGAACCUCUGUUCGGUUGCUGAUGUUUAAUGUAUGGCAGAUGAAAUGGUACUUUGAUAAACGGACUCCAAGGAUUGUUAUGACAUUUCUCGUCUGCAUCCUACAACGUGAUUAGACUGCCAUAGUGCUGCGUGAUUAAUAGAGUUAGUUCUAUCUGCACUGAACCUCUCUGGCACAGGAAUCUCUUAGAAACAGUGUACCUCAGAAAUGCUUGCAUUGCAUCCUAUUGUCAAAAUCCAACCAACCAGAAAUGAGGUACGUCAGCCAUGCCAUGUGUUGCAGGGGUUGGCUGA